This is a long non-coding RNA of Cannabis sativa, 447 nucleotides long. RefSeq lists it as uncharacterized. The record is from RefSeq and is a predicted model, not a curated record. NCBI's taxonomy places the organism in Eukaryota, Viridiplantae, Streptophyta, Magnoliopsida, Rosales, Cannabaceae. The transcript has 3 exons.
UGUGCUAUAAUGUGCUAUACAAUUUAAUUGGUACUCAUUUCAUUGUUAUAACGUUAUGUAGUAAAAGGACCUCGAAGUUGCAGAUCCCCCCCGCCACCGUGUUUGGAUUAAAUCACGCACCAAGAGUAGAAAACUUGUCACUGAUUACGACAAGGAAAUUGCAGAGAAGAUAGCUCAAUUAGAGGAGAAGCUUAGUCAGGGACAAAUUCAGGUCCAGGGCCAAAACGAUAUCCUGACGCAGGCGCUCGGGACACCAGAGCAUCUUGGACGUGUCAGGGCUGCUGGGUUCCUGACCAGGGCAUCUCAACUGUUCGGCAGGAAGAAAAGGGAAGUGUCUGAUGUUAUGGCUCGGCAAGCGAAGGAGAUUGAAAAAUUAAAAGCCGAAGUCCAAUCCCUUAAGCAGCAGAGGAACGCUGCCGAACAAGAGGGAGAAGGAGAGGUGGCUGG